GAGGUUGUGGCUCAGAGGUAGAGCGCUUGCCUAGCAUGCGUGAGGCACUGGGUUCAAUCCUCAGCACCACA
Molecule: transfer RNA, 71 nt
Filed under: Marmota monax (woodchuck)
Lineage: Eukaryota; Metazoa; Chordata; Mammalia; Rodentia; Sciuridae
Description: tRNA.Ala
Rfam family: tRNA
About the family: Transfer RNA (tRNA) molecules are approximately 80 nucleotides in length. Their secondary structure includes four short double-helical elements and three loops (D, anti-codon, and T loops). Further hydrogen bonds mediate the characteristic L-shaped molecular structure. tRNAs have two regions of fundamental functional importance: the anti-codon, which is responsible for specific mRNA codon recognition, and the 3' end, to which the tRNAs corresponding amino acid is attached (by aminoacyl-tRNA synthetases). tRNAs cope with the degeneracy of the genetic code in two manners: having more than one tRNA (with a specific anti-codon) for a particular amino acid; and 'wobble' base-pairing, i.e. permitting non-standard base-pairing at the 3rd anti-codon position.
Source: RNAcentral